This 305-nucleotide ribosomal RNA is filed under the name uncultured bacterium. RNAcentral's name for it is "bacterial SSU rRNA". It matches the Rfam family "Bacterial small subunit ribosomal RNA", at positions 332 to 654 of the family's 1533-position model. The record is from RNAcentral.
CGUACCUACGGGCCGCAGCAGUGGGGAAUAUUGGGCAAUGGGCGCAAGCCUGACCCAGCAACGCCGCGUGAAGGAAGAAGGCUUUCGGGUUGUAAACUUCUUUUAAGAGGGAAGAGCAGAAGACGGUACCUCUUGAAUAAGCCACGGCUAACUACGUGACAGCAGCCGCGGUAAUAUGUCGGUGGCAAGCGUUGUCCGGAUUUACUGGGUGUAAAGGGCGUGUAGUCGGGCUGAAAAGUCAGAUGUGCAAUUCCGGAGCUCAACCCCGGACCUGCAUCUGAAACUGUUGGAUUUGAGUAUCGGAG